RNAcentral lists this ribosomal RNA (253 nucleotides) under uncultured bacterium. RNAcentral describes it as "partial 16S ribosomal RNA". It matches the Rfam family "Bacterial small subunit ribosomal RNA", at positions 524 to 776 of the family's 1533-position model. The record is from RNAcentral.
UACGUGAGGGGCGAACGUUGUUCGGUGUCACUGGGCUUAAAGGGUGCGUAGGUGGUUGCGUAAGUAACGUGUGAAAUCCCUCGGCUUACCCGGGGAAUUGCAUGUUAUACUGCGUGACUUGAGGGCUAAAGGGGAAAAGGGAACUCCAGGUGUAGCGGUGAAAUGCGUAGAUAUCUGGAGGAACACCGGUGGCGAAGGCGGCAUCCUGGACCGACACUGACGCUGAGGAGCGAAAGCCAGGGGAGCAAACGGG